CAUUUAGGACUAGAUGUUGGAAUUAGACAGAAAAAAAAAUUAGACAAAAAAAUUGUGUCUAAUUCCAACAUCUAGUCCUAAAUG
Molecule: microRNA precursor, 84 nt
Filed under: Chlorocebus sabaeus (green monkey)
Lineage: Eukaryota; Metazoa; Chordata; Mammalia; Primates; Cercopithecidae
Description: miRNA (ENSCSAG00000023996.1)
Source: RNAcentral